ACGAACGCUGGCGGCGUGCUUAACACAUGCAAGUUGAACGGAAAGGCCCUGCUUUUGUGGGGUGCUCGGGUGGCGAACGGGUGAGUAACACGUGAGUAACCUGCCCUUGACUUUGGGAUAACUUCAGGAAACGGGGGCUAAUACCGGAUAGGAGCUCCUGCUGCAUGGGGGGGGUUGGAAAGUUUCGGCGGUGGGGGAUGGACUCGCGGCUUAUCGGCUUGGUGGUGGGGUAGUGGCUUACCAAGGCUUUGACGGGUAGCCGGCCUGAGAGGGUGACCGGCCACAUUGGGACUGAGAUACGGCCCAGACUCCUACGGGAGGCAGCAGUGGGGAAUAUUGCACAAUGGGCGGAAGCCUGAUGCAGCAACGCCGCGUGCGGGAUGACGGCCUUCGGGUUGUAAACCGCUUUCGCCUGUGACGAAGCGUGAGUGACGGUAAUGGGUAAAGAAGCACCGGCUAACUACGUG
This 467-nucleotide ribosomal RNA is filed under the name uncultured bacterium. RNAcentral describes it as "partial 16S ribosomal RNA". It matches the Rfam family "Bacterial small subunit ribosomal RNA", at positions 29 to 507 of the family's 1533-position model. The record is from RNAcentral.